AAGUCGUAACAAGGUUUCCGUAGGUGAACCUGCGGAAGGAUCAUCAUUGAAUAAACUUGAACAGGCUGUUGCUGGCUCCCUCAUGGGGGGUAUGUGCACGCUUGUCAUCUUUAUUUCUCCACUUGUGCACAUAUUGUAGACCCUGGAAUUAAAUUUGAUCAUUGUUCGAGUUGGGAACUGCUGUGCUUUUCUUUUAAACAGAAGUCGGCUUCUCCUUGCAUUUCCAGGUCUAUGUCAUUAUUUUCACAAUCUCUGAAUGAGUUUAGAAUGUUGAAAUUAUAAGGGUCUUGUACCUAUAAAUUUAUAUAAACAACUUUCAGCAACGGAUCUCUUGGCUCUCGCAUCGAUGAAGAACGCAGCGAAAUGCGAUAAGUAAUGUGAAUUGCAGAAUUCAGUGAAUCAUCGAAUCUUUGAACGCAUCUUGCGCUCCUUGGUAUUCCGAGGAGCAUGCCUGUUUGAGUGUCAUCAAGUUCUCAACCACACCGAUUCUUUUUUGUGUGGCUUGGAUGUGGGGGAUAUAUUUUGCAGGCCUUUGGAAUAUGAAGUCUGCUCCCCUGAAAUGUAUUAGUGGUAUCUGAGCAGAGAAAGCUACUACAGGUGUUGAUAAUUGUCUAUGCCUUUAGCACACUGCAUGAACAGAUUGUACUGCUUCUAAUAAAUCUCUUUGAAAAUUGACCUC
RNAcentral lists this ribosomal RNA (679 nucleotides) under uncultured Inocybe. Its description in RNAcentral is "eukaryotic LSU rRNA". The stretch from base 312 to 465 matches the Rfam family "5.8S ribosomal RNA". Lineage: Eukaryota; Fungi; Basidiomycota; Agaricomycetes; Agaricales; Cortinariaceae. The record is from RNAcentral.